RNAcentral lists this ribosomal RNA (301 nucleotides) under uncultured bacterium. RNAcentral's name for it is "partial 16S ribosomal RNA". It matches the Rfam family "Bacterial small subunit ribosomal RNA", at positions 509 to 807 of the family's 1533-position model. The record is from RNAcentral.
CAGCCGCCGCGGGAAUACGUAGGGUGCAAGCGUUAUCCGGAAUUACUGGGCGUAAAGCGUGCGUAGGUGGUGGUUUAAGUCCGUUGUGAAAGCCCUGGGCUCAACCUGGGAAUUGCAGUGGAUACUGGGUCACUAGAGUGUGGUAGAGGAUAGUGGAAUUUCCGGUGUAGCAGUGAAAUGCGUAGAGAUCGGAAGGAACAUCUGUGGCGAAGGCGACUAUCUGGGCCAACACUGACACUGAGGCACGAAAGCGUGGGGAGCAAACAGGAUUAGAGACCCCCGUAGUCCCUGUCUCUUAUAC